Molecule: ribosomal RNA, 778 nt
Filed under: uncultured bacterium
Lineage: Bacteria
Description: bacterial SSU rRNA
Rfam family: Bacterial small subunit ribosomal RNA
Source: RNAcentral
AGAGUUUGAUCCUGGCUCAGGAUGAACGCUAGCGGCAGGCCUAAUACAUGCAAGUCGAACGGUGCCUUCGGGCAUAGUGGCGAACGGGUGCGUAACGCGUAAGUAACCUGCCCCAAACUGGGGGAUAGCCCGGCGAAAGCUGGGGUAAACCCGCAUGGUCUCUUUAACUGCAUCAGUUGUUGAGUAAAGCUUUAGCGGUUUGGGAGGGACUUGCGUCCGAUUAGCUAGAUGGCGGGGUAGUGGCCCACCAUGGCUAUGAUCGGUAGGGGCUCUGAGAGGAGCGGCCCCCACACUGGCACUGAGAUACGGGCCAGACUCCUACGGGAGGCAGCAGUAGGGAAUAUUGGGCAAUGGCCGAAAGGCUGACCCAGCCAUGCCGCGUGCAGGAUGAAGGCGCUCAGCGUUGUAAACUGCUUUUAUCUGGGAAGAACGGCAGUCCUGCGGGAUUGUGUGACGGUACCAGAGGAAUAAGCACCGGCUAACUCCGUGCCAGCAGCCGCGGUAAUACGGAGGGUGCAAGCGUUGUCCGGAUUUAUUGGGUUUAAAGGGUGCGUAGGCGGGCUAGUAAGUCUGGUUUGAAAGUCAAUGGCUCAACCAUUGAGGGUGGCUGGAUACUGUUAGUCUUGAAAUUGUUGGAGGCCAUCGGAACGGAUCGUGUAGCGGUGAAAUGCAUAGAUAUGAUCCAGAACACCAAUUGCGUAGGCAGGUGGCUACGACUGAUUUGACGCUGAGGCACGAGAGCAUGGGGAGCAAACAGGAUUAGAUACCCUAGUAGUCC